CCUUGACAUACUAAGAACUUUCCAGAGAUGGAUUGGUGCCUUCGGGAACUUAGAUACAGGUGCUGCAUGGCUGUCGUCAGCUCGUGUCGUGAGAUGUCGGGUUAAGUCCCGNAACGAGCGCAACCCUUUUCCUUAUUUGCCAGCGGGUCAUGCCGGGAACUUUAAGGAUACUGCCAGUGACAAACUGGAGGAAGGCGGGGACGACGUCAAGUCAUCAUGGCCCUUACGGCCAGGGCUACACACGUGCUACAAUGGUCGGUACAAAGGGUUGCUACCUCGCGAGAGGAUGCUAAUCUCAAAAAGCCGAUCGUAGUCCGGAUCGCAGUCUGCAACUCGACUGCGUGAAGUCGGAAUCGCUAGUAAUCGCGGAUCAGAAUGCCGCGGUGAAUACGUUCCCGGGCCUUGUACACACCGCCCGUCACACCAUGGGAGUUUGUUGCACCAGAAGUAGGUAGUCUAACCGCAAGGAGGACGCUUACCACGGUGUGGCCGAUGACUGGGGUGAAGUCGUAACAAGGUAGGCGUAGAUGA
This 531-nucleotide ribosomal RNA is filed under the name uncultured bacterium. RNAcentral describes it as "bacterial SSU rRNA". It matches the Rfam family "Bacterial small subunit ribosomal RNA", at positions 979 to 1509 of the family's 1533-position model. The record is from RNAcentral.